The sequence is a ribosomal RNA, 280 nucleotides long. It matches the Rfam family "Bacterial small subunit ribosomal RNA", at positions 1 to 269 of the family's 1533-position model.
UUUUAUGGAGAGUUUGAUCCUGGCUCAGGAUGAACGCUGGCGGCGUGCCUAAUACAUGCAAGUCGAGCGAACGGACGAGAAGCUUGCUUCUCUGAUGUUAGCGGCGGACGGGUGAGUAACACGUGGAUAACCUACCUAUAAGACUGGGAUAACUUCGGGAAACCGUAGCUAAUACCGGAUAAUAUUUUGAACCGCAUGGUUCAAAAGUGAAAGACGGUCUUGCUGUCACUUAUAGAUGGAUCCGCGCUGCAUUAGCUAGUUGGUAAGGUAACGGCUUACC